CUGGAGAGAUGACCCUGUUGAGCUUGACUCUAGUCUGCAACUGUGAAGAGACAUGAGAGGUGUAGGAUAAGUGGGAGGCCCCCGCCU
Long non-coding RNA from Nanorana parkeri, 87 nucleotides. RefSeq lists it as uncharacterized. The record is from RefSeq and is a predicted model, not a curated record. Lineage: Eukaryota; Metazoa; Chordata; Amphibia; Anura; Dicroglossidae. The transcript has 3 exons.